AGAUGUCGUCCUCUGUAUCUGCCCUCCCAACCUUGUCGCGUAUGGAUCCACAGAAUUUUCUUUCCAGCGACCCGAAACCCACCUGACCCUUUUAACCACUUACCGGUCUAUCGUCGCCAUUACCUUUACUUAAUUAGACCAACAUUGGCUUAAGGUUCUACUUCCUUAAUUUGGGUUCUGAUUUUCUAUAUUCUACAACUAAAGGAGCUCCCUGAGUUAUAUGUUAUAUACCUUGACACUUUUAAAAUACUUCUUUUUACGCGUUCUUCUUAAGCUCUGUUUACCGCGAGCUUCACAUGAUUCAAAUAAACAUACACACAACUACUGGACGCUAUUACGAUUCACAAUAUUAUUUUUCACGAUUCCACAACUACCUUAACGUAUCUUAAAUCUAUUUAAUUUCUUUUUCUCUUAUUUAAAAAAAAAAAAACUAUUUCUGGACUCUUUCUAUUUUAAUAGUUGGUUCUAAAUUUCUUUUUUGUUUGUAACUGGCCUUCCAUAUGACAAGUUUAAAAUUUCUUUCAUAUAAUAAUGUAAUAAUACUUAAGGAAGAUUUUGUAUGACUCUUAUGUUGGUUAAAUUAAGUGAGCUAUAUAAUUGUUAUUAUUCCAUACACUGAAUACGUUUUUAAUAACUUAUUUAAAUAAAAAAAGGUAAAA
This is a long non-coding RNA of Lucilia cuprina (Australian sheep blowfly), 659 nucleotides long. RefSeq lists it as uncharacterized. Lineage: Eukaryota; Metazoa; Arthropoda; Insecta; Diptera; Calliphoridae. The transcript is spliced from 3 exons. The record is from RefSeq and is a predicted model, not a curated record.